RNAcentral lists this ribosomal RNA (306 nucleotides) under uncultured bacterium. RNAcentral describes it as "bacterial SSU rRNA". It matches the Rfam family "Bacterial small subunit ribosomal RNA", at positions 30 to 339 of the family's 1533-position model. The record is from RNAcentral.
AUUGAACGCUGGCGGCAUGCCUUACACAUGCAAGUCGAACGGCAGCACGGGGGCAACCCUGGUGGCGAGUGGCGAACGGGUGAGUAAUACAUCGGAACGUGUCCUAUCGUGGGGGGAUAACUAGUCGAAAGACUAGCUAAUACCGCAUGAGAUCGAGAGAUGAAAAGCAGGGGGACCGCAAGGCCUUGCGCGAUUGGAGCGGCCGAUGUCGGAUUAGCUUAGUGCGGGUAAAGCCACAAGGCGACGAUCCGUAGCUGGUUUGAGAGAACGACAGCCACACUGGGACUGAGACACGGCCCAGACUCC